GCAUAUCAAUAAGCGGAGGAAAAGAAAAUAACAAUGAUUCCCUCAGUAACGGCGAGCGAAGAGGGAUAAGCUCAAAUUUUAAAUCUGUUGGGUUCCACUUUACAGAGUUGUAUUUUGAAGAAACGUUUUCUGCUGUCCAGGAUUAGCCUAAAUCCUUUGGGAUAAGGUAUCAUGGAGGGUGAGAAUCCCGUUCAUGGUUAAUCUUAAGGAAGCUCUACGAUACGUUUUCCAAGAGUCGAGUUGUUUGGGAUUGCAGCUCAAAAUGGGAGGUAAAUUUCUCCUAAAGCUAAAUAUUGGCGAGAGACCGAUAGCAAACAAGUACCGUGAGGGAAAGAUGAAAAGAACUUUGAAGAGAGAGUUAAAUAGUACGUGAAAUUGUUGGAAAGGAAACGAUUAAAGUCAGUCAUACCAACGGGAAAUCAACCUUUUGAGCUUGGUCUCGUGGGUUUGAAGAGUUCCAAAGCAUUCGGAUUCGCGGGAUUGGGAUCUCUUGGCGUACUUUUUCGUACGGUUAGUCAACAUCGGUUCUGAAUGUCAUAAAAUGACUGGAGGAAUGUAGCUUCGAUCUCGUAUUGAAGUGUUAUAGCCUUUGGUAGAUGUGAUGUUUGAGACCGAGGAUUGCAACGGAUACCCUUCAGGGCUAUUCGUCUGAUCUCUGAUACGUUGCCUUGAUGUUGAAAGCUUGCUUAUGAUGCUAGGGUAUUACGGUCAAAAGGUUAGAACGAAUUACAUUCGUUAAGGAUGUUGACGUAAUGGCUUUAAACGAC
RNAcentral lists this ribosomal RNA (767 nucleotides) under Funneliformis mosseae. Its description in RNAcentral is "eukaryotic LSU rRNA". It matches the Rfam family "Eukaryotic large subunit ribosomal RNA", at positions 38 to 648 of the family's 3401-position model. The record is from RNAcentral. Lineage: Eukaryota; Fungi; Glomeromycota; Glomeromycetes; Glomerales; Glomeraceae.